Molecule: ribosomal RNA, 776 nt
Filed under: Escherichia coli
Lineage: Bacteria; Pseudomonadati; Pseudomonadota; Gammaproteobacteria; Enterobacterales; Enterobacteriaceae
Description: partial 23S ribosomal RNA
Rfam family: Bacterial large subunit ribosomal RNA
Source: RNAcentral
UUCGACACACUAUCAUUAACUGAAUCCAUAGGUUAAUGAGGCGAACCGGGGGAACUGAAACAUCUAAGUACCCCGAGGAAAAGAAAUCAACCGAGAUUCCCCCAGUAGCGGCGAGCGAACGGGGAGCAGCCCAGAGCCUGAAUCAGUGUGUGUGUUAGUGGAAGCGUCUGGAAAGGCGCGCGAUACAGGGUGACAGCCCCGUACACAAAAAUGCACAUACUGUGAGCUCGAUGAGUAGGGCGGGACACGUGGUAUCCUGUCUGAAUAUGGGGGGACCAUCCUCCAAGGCUAAAUACUCCUGACUGACCGAUAGUGAACCAGUACCGUGAGGGAAAGGCGAAAAGAACCCCGGCGAGGGGAGUGAAAAAGAACCUGAAACCGUGUACGUACAAGCAGUGGGAGCACGCUUCGGCGUGUGACUGCGUACCUUUUGUAUAAUGGGUCAGCGACUUAUAUUCUGUAGCAAGGUUAACCGAAUAGGGGAGCCGAAGGGAAACCGAGUCUUAACUGGGCGUUAAGUUGCAGGGUAUAGACCCGAAACCCGGUGAUCUAGCCAUGGGCAGGUUGAAGGUUGGGUAACACUAACUGGAGGACCGAACCGACUAAUGUUGAAAAAUUAGCGGAUGACUUGUGGCUGGGGGUGAAAGGCCAAUCAAACCGGGAGAUAGCUGGUUCUCCCCGAAAGCUAUUUAGGUAGCGCCUCGUGAAUUCAUCUCCGGGGGUAGAGCACUGUUUCGGCAAGGGGGUCAUCCCGACUUACCAACCCGAUGCAAACU